RNAcentral lists this ribosomal RNA (227 nucleotides) under uncultured bacterium. Its description in RNAcentral is "partial 16S ribosomal RNA". It matches the Rfam family "Bacterial small subunit ribosomal RNA", at positions 27 to 245 of the family's 1533-position model. The record is from RNAcentral.
GAACGAACGCUGGCGGCGCGCCUAACACAUGCAAGUCGAACGAGAAGGCGUAGCAAUACGCUUGUAGAGUGGCGAACGGGUGAGUAAUACGUGGGUGACCUACCCUCGAGUGGGGAAUAACCCGCCGAAAGGCGGGCUAAUGCCGCGUACGCUUCCGUCCUCACGGGGACGGAAGGAAAGCUGUACCGUGGGUACGGCGCUCAAGGAUGGGCUCACGUCCUAUCAGC